AGUCAGCUGAAAUCCAGAGCUCAGCUCAGAAGCUCAGAGAGGGGAAGCAGACAAAACGCAGCUUCGGCCGGGAAACAUCGUCAGACUCAGCAAAGGCAUGGAAUUCGACCACGAAACACAAACUCCAAAGGGCAAACAGAGGGAUCUAAAUCCACAGGCUGCAGGAAUGCUUUAAAACUUUCUUGUAACCUUGCUUUGUUGAAAGGGUCUUUAUUUUCCAUUUCAAGUGACGUGACACAGGGACAAUCCAUCUCUCAGGGCAGCCCAUCUGAAGUGGAUCAUGCCCCCUAGAUAGCAGCCUCGUCCUCCUCUCCACUCCCCCUCCCUGCCCCUUGGCCCCUUCCUCUACCUUCCUGGUCCAGCACCAUCACUGCCACCUGUGUCACCACAGCCGCCAUGCCCCCCAGGAAGAGGACGCGGCCGGGCCUGGGCUUCCUGUGCUGCUUCGGCAGCAGCGAGCCACCGGAGAUCAACCUCAAGGACAGCGUGCCCCUGCAGCUGCUGGAGUUCAGUGCCCCCAUGCCGCCCGCUGAGGAGCUGCACGCACGUUUCUCCGAACUGGUGGAUGAACUGGACCUGACGGAUAAGAACAGGGAGGCCAUGUUCGCUCUGCCCGACGAGAAGAAAUGGCAGAUCUACUGCAGCAAGAAGAAGGAGCAAGAGGACCCCAACAAGCUGGCCACCAGCUGGCCCGACUACUACAUUGACCGCAUCAACUCCAUGGCUGCUAUGCAGACCCUGUUUGCCUUUGAUGAGGAGGAAAUGGAAAUGAGGAACAAGGUGGUGGAAGAUCUGAAGACGGCACUUCGGACUCAGCCGAUGAGGUUCGUCACACGCUUCAUCGAGCUUGACGGCCUCACCUGCCUCCUCAACUUUCUGCGCAGCAUGGACUACGAGACGUCGGAGAGCCGCGUCCACACCUCUGUCAUCGGCUGUAUCAAGGCCCUGAUGAACAACUCCCAGGGCCGCGCACACGUCCUGGCCCACCCACAAAGCAUUAACACCAUCUCGCAGAGCCUGCGGACGGAGAACAUCAAGACCAAAGUGGCGGUGCUGGAGAUCCUUGGGGCGGUAUGCCUGGUGCCGGAUGGACACAAGAAGGUGCUGCAGGCCAUGGCGCAUUACCAGAAAUACGCUGCGGAGAGGACUCGCUUUCAGACGCUGCUGAAUGAGCUGGACAAGAGUACAGGCCGCUACAGAGACGAGGUCAACUUAAAGACUGCCAUCAUGUCCUUCAUCAACGCCGUGCUCAAUGCUGGAGCUGGGGAGGACAACCUUGAGUUCCGCCUCCACCUAAGGUACGAGUUCCUAAUGUUGGGCAUCCAGCCGGUUAUUGACAAGCUCCGAGAGCAUGAGAACGCCACUCUGGAUAGGCAUUUGGACUUCUUUGAGAUGGUGCGGAAUGAGGAUGACUCUGAGUUGGCCAAAAGAUUUGAUAUGACCCACGUAGAUACUAAGAGUGCCGGUGCCAUGUUUGAGCUGAUCAAGAAGAAGCUGAGCCACACAGACGCCUACCCCAACCUCCUCUCCAUCCUCCAGCACUGCCUGCAGAUGCCCUAUAAACGUGGUGGUGGCAGCCUGCAGCACUGGCAGCUCCUAGACAGGAUCCUCCAGCAGAUAGUCCUCCAGGACGACAAGGGAGAUGACCCCGACAUCGCCCCUCUGGACAACUUCAGUGUUAAGAACAUCAUUCGAAUGUUGGUCAAUGAGAAUGAGGUGAAACAGUGGCGAGACCAGGCAGAGAAGUUCAGGAAAGACCAUGUAGAGCUGCUAGCCAAACUAGAGAGGAAGGAACGGGAGUGUGAAACCAAGACCCAGGAAAAGGAGGACAUGAUGAAGACUUUGAACAAGAUGAAGGACAAACUCCAGCGCGAGGGAGUGGAGCUGCGCUCAGCCAGGGAACAAGUCCUGGACCUGUCCUCGCGCAUUAAUGACAUAUCUGGCGUUGGUGUGUCUUUCCCACCUCCACCUCCUCCUCCUGGCGGCCCCGUGGCUCCACCUCCACCCCCAAUGAUGGGUGGCUUUCCUCCACCUCCUCCUCCGCUGCCAUUCAGCUGCCCGCCUCCUCCACCACCUCCUCCCCCACCUGGAGCACCCCCCCCUCCGCCAGGAGCCCCUCCCAUUUUCGGAGUCCCGCCUCCUCCUGUUCCCUCUUCAUUCAACUCAGCGACCACCAUGCGCUCCAAGUCCAUCCCUCAGCCUUCUCAUCCCCUGAAGUCCUUCAACUGGGCCAAACUAGGAGAGAAUGUGAUCAAUGGCACCAUCUGGAACGACAUUGACGACCUGAGAGCUUUCAAGAUUCUUGACCUCAAGGACAUAGAGAAGAUGUUUUCAGCCUAUCAGAGACAACAGGACCUGCUCACUAACCAAUCCUUCAAACAGAAAGAGACGGGCUCUAUGGACGACAUAUACGUCAGCACGCGGAAGGUCAAAGAGCUGUCAGUCAUCGAUGGUAGACGUGCACAGAAUUGUGUCAUCCUGCUUUCAAAGUUAAAAAUGAGCAAUGAGGAGAUCAGGAGGGCGAUCCUGGAGAUGGACGAGAGGGAAGAGCUAGCCAAAGAUAUGCUGGAGCAGCUGCUGAAGUUUGUCCCAGAGAAAAGUGACAUUGAUCUCCUGGAGGAGCACAAACAUGAGCUGGAGCGGAUGGCCCGGGCUGAUCGCUUCCUCUUUGAAAUGAGCAGAAUUGACCACUACCAGCAGAGACUGCAGGCUCUGUUCUUCAAGAAGAAGUUUGCAGAGCGUCUAGCUGAAACCAAGCCUAAGGUUGAAGCCAUCCUCAAUGCGUCCAGGGAGGUGGUCCGCAGCAAGAGGCUGACUCAGAUUCUGGAGGUGGUGCUGGCCUUCGGCAACUUCAUGAACAAGGGCCAGAGAGGCAACGCCUACGGCUUCAAGGUCUCCAGCCUCAACAAGAUUGCUGACACCAAGUCCAGCAUAGACAGGAACAUCACCAUGUUGCACUACCUGAUCAUGAUCAUUGAGAAGAACUACAAUGACACAAUGCACAUCCAGGACGACCUCAGCAGUGUACCAGAGGCAGCCAAAGUCAAUUUGGCAGAGUUGGAAAAAGAGGUGCACAGUAUCAAAAGUGGACUAAAGGCACUAGAGGCGGAGCUGCACUACCAGCAGGGCAGGACGAGGGAACGUGGGGACAAAUUUGUGGCUGUGAUCGGUGACUUCAUCACCGUGGCUGGCUUCAGCUUCUCUGAACUGGAGGACCAGCUGAGUGAAGCCAAGGACAAGUUUGCCAAAUCUCUGAAGCACUUUGGGGAGGAGGAAGGAAGGAUGCAACCCGAUGAGUUCUUCGGGAUCUUUGACACCUUCCUGCAGUCGUUCAGCGAAGCACGGCAAGACCUGGAGAACAUGCAGCGACGUAAAGAUGAGGAGGAGAGGAGGGCACGAAUGGAGGCCAUGCUCAAGGAGCAGAGAGAACGUGAACGGCGGGCGAAGAAGAGCGGGGCCUCAGAGGAGGUCGGUGGGGAGUUCGACGACCUGGUGUCAGCACUGCGUUCCGGCGAGGUCUUCGACAAGGACCUGAAUAAAUUCAAGCGCAACCGCAAGCGCUCCGUCAACCAGCUGGUCGAAGGUGGGGGCCGCGAACGAGCUGUCACCAAGGUCAACUACUAAGAUAGGAAAAGGAAGGAAAAAAAAAUACUAGACACUUAAAUUCUGCCGUGGUGUAGAUCUCUUUAACACCUUUAGUCCAGGUCCUUGGACAGUGACCAUUGACAUUGGAGAGGAUGUAAAUAACGGCUGGACUGGACAUGUAGCGACAUGUAUGGACAGCCACGCCGUUUUGAAGGAUGCAACACCCUCCUCUGAUUGUUCUUAUAAAGCUAUUCCCAACCUGUCUGUCCUGGGCGUCGUAUGAUCACCUGAGCUGGACAAAAGGACAAUUGGGAUCUAUGAAUGGAUGGACAGACCACUGUGACACAUUAUCCCAUAUCUUUUGACCAUAUCCUUUUAACACUGUGCUCAAGCUUCCAGUUCUUUUUCACCCCGUUUUUCACAGCUCUUUUUAUCCUCACAAACCCUUCGCUCUUUUUCUGUAAGUUCCUUGGUGCUGAAGCAGUCCUAUCUUUUUGCUAUCUGGCUCUUAAACACACAGGACUUUGGGAUCAGCCAGUCACACUGUACAUAGACUCGAGGCCAAGAGAAAGGAUUGGAAAAAGGACUUUGAAAAAACUGAAAAAGAAGGUGGGAUGGGGGAACUAAGCCAUAACCUCCACAGUCAUGGUUGCUUCAAGGGUCCCCCAGAAAAGAGACUUUUCAGCCACAGAAUAGAUGGGUAUUCAUGAACUUCCUUUACUGGAAAGAGGGGCGUGCAGACGGCGAAUCCCAGAAUGCUUUGUAGGCUUCAGGGAGAGUGAGGAAGGAUACACAACAGGGGGGUUAUCGCUACAUCCCAACGGCCUCCUCCAGCACAAAGCAUUCCCAGGGAGGACUCAUGCACACCCCGAGCUGCAGUUUCAGAGGAUACAACUCUUCUCAAGGAAAAAACAACUUCUCAGUUUGAUCCACCUGACAAAAUGAUGACUGUGCCACAAGGGUCAAGCCUCACCUCCAUUCUUCAAUGGUUACAACAUUGUUCUGGCAUCAACCAGUGCCAAAGCAAAGAGAAAACAAAUGUAAAUGUAUUAAUACAAAACAUACUGCAAUUAGGCGUUGAUAUAUAUUUAUAUUUAGAUGCAGACAAGCUAAUUGCAAAGAUGUAGAGGUUUUUUUAUGUUUUCAUGGCAUUUUGGGGUUUUGUACACGCGAUGCAUUAUUUGUUGGUGUUGCAAGUUCACAUUGCUGUUAAAGUGAAUUUCUAUACAUUUUGCGCUUUAUGUAAAAAAAAAAAAAAAAAAAAAAAGGUAAUUGCUUGUCCUUUUCACACCUGUACGUCUUGUUUGCACUGUAGCUUUUCUGACCAACUUUACACUCCACAAGCCGAUCUACAGUGUCCUCUGGAAAAACUCCUCUCUGCACUUAAAUGACCCCUUAUCUAUAACAAUGAUAAUAGAGGAACGCCAUAUAUGAAUUCAAAUCUGCAGUUAGUUCACGGUGUUCUCCCUGCUCUCCCAGCUGCAGCUAAAAUGCAGACCAUGUGGACUCACAGUAGCGGCCAAAAGGAUGCUGUGUAGCAGUUCUCAUUGGGCCCUUUAGUGACUCUCAUCCAUAGUAUCCGUAGGAUCGGUUCCACUGGUGCUAAUACAUGUGGUCUCAAGACAGAGCCAGCAGCCCAGAUGAAGAUUUCUUGAGGUAAAAACUAGUGCUUGAUUCCUCUGUGACCAAGAUUCAGUCUCAUCAUACAGUAUUUCUCUGUUUUUAGUUCAGUUGCCGUUGUAAUAUCAGACCACACUGUCUACUGAGUGUUAUUGCAAAGUCAGGGUACAACAAAGCACUUAGAGCGUGUAGAAAAUGAAAUAUAGUGGAGCAACAGAGAAAACAGUCCUUCCCUUCAUCUUUCCUUCCAGCUUCUCUCAACAUUUGAGAUAUUACUAGACCCUGUUACUAUGCGCAACCUGUUGCCAAACAAGAGUCAGACCCACAUACUGAAGCCAACCUUGGUCAUUUUUCUUUUAAGUUUUUGAAAUAUUCAAUUCAGUAUAUAUUUUUUAUUUAUGUAUAUGCAUUUCUAAAACCUUAGCAGUAGGCAUGACAAAGGCUGCAGUGUAAAGUAUGGGCUCGCCUCAGUACGACAUUUAUAUCAAGAUGGACAUAAAGUGCAGGGUGGCUUGCCACAGGAAGAAGUGUGCCCACAGAGAGGGCUUUAAUCUUGGGAGGGGGGGCUCCACUGUGAAAGGAGCCGCUCCUGGUCAAUUUUAAGGAGGAUGAGGAAGAAUUUUGGGAUGUCAAAUGAAAGCGUGGAUCGAUUUAAAAACGAGAAUCAUAUGCUACAUAUGAAUAUAUAUCUUCACAUAAGCAGGUAGAGGGUAACAUGCACAUGAAGAACAUAUGAAAUAUCCUGGUAAUCAUCCCUCUUUUUGUUAGAUAACCCAUUUAAAUCAUUCCAUCUGCACCGCAUGGCUACUGAAGUACAGUAUAGAGCUACAUGUGAGCAGUACAGUAGGGAAAUUGGUCUUUUUCGAAGCAAAUGGACACAUGUUGUGUUUGAUCUUCCUGUUGGCCUAUUUGUGCAUGUUUAGCUAAGGCUUCAUGUUUUAGCAUGCAUCCGUUUUAUGUAGACAGGCCAGAAGAUUUGCACACCAGCCCCUCGUUCAGUUUGUAAGGUGUAAGAGUUAAGUGAUUAACAGUCACAGUUUUUCCUUUUCUCGCAUUAAACUUGAGACGUUUUCCCUCUGCACUUGACUCAGUGAGCACUUGGUGUGUGAACUGUGGUGUUACAAAACACAAGAAAAAGACAUUUCCAAUGUUGGAUUAUUGGACAUCAGUUCAUAUUUAAUUUACGAUCCCACUAUUGUAUGUAAUUACUACAGUGGUAAUGGCUACCCCUGAUUGUUCCCUCACCUUGCCAGCUUUUCUGUUCUGCUUCAUUUUCACCUUGAAGUGCCUCUGACCCUGUUUUCACAUGUUUACCAUUCCUUUUAAUGUAUUUUAGUGCUUGUGACUUUCCCAAAUAUGUACAGUGUUUUGCUCAUGAAAUGCAGCCCACAGUUGGAAUUGGACUAAUUGGCGCCAUCUUGUGGCUUCAGAUAGUGCUUUUUUGAGUGCCUCGUUCACAAGCAGUUAAAAGCAGCUUUCCAAAGUGUUAAAGGGACAGUUCACCACCAAAUCAAAAAUACAUAUGUUGCGCAAUUUAUCGAUCCAAAUUAUUUUUCUUGGUGCAAGUUGCCGAGUGUUUGAGAUAUCGGCCAUAGAGAUGUCUGCCUUACUCAUAUAAUAGAACUAGAUGGCAGACAUCUCUCGAUUUCUCCAACACUCAGCUGUUCACAUAAACAGCACAACAGGUAAGAGGAAGAAAUAUGAAUUUCUGAUUUUAGGUUGAGUUGUCCCUUUACCAUGAUGUGGCUCUCGACCCCAGCUCUGCACAAUAACUCAAAGUCUCCAAAUGUGAAGUCAAACAGGUGUGCUUCAGUGUGGCUGGCAUGUCAUCAGAGAGGUUUGACCUGUACAGAGAAAAUUCCUUUUCACCUAAACUUUUAAGUGAUCCAUAAUCUGUCACCUUACAGAGACAAGUCAUCCUACCAGGGGUUUAGUCCAUACAUUGUUCCUCAAACUGAAGCAGAGACAAGCUGAUGUGAGGUUGAUAAGACAAUGUGAGUGCAGAGAGGAUCUUUGAGUUCUCAUGUCCCACACUUUAGAGAUUAACCGGUAAACCAAACAGAUUAAAAUGUUCAGACACUUUGAUUAAUCAGAGAAGUUCUAAAUCUUAAGGGGGUAAAUGACGUAUGAUUGCCUAAUUCUUUAACCAGCAUCUCAUGUAUAUUUGAGCUAUUUGAUUUCCUAACCUCUGCUCCUUUGUCUUUCAAGUUAAUCAGAGUUAGUAUAUCAGACUUUGGCAGACCCUUUAAACUCUUAAUCCAGAGCUUUAACCCAUAUUGUAGUGCAGACUAUUUACUGAGGGGGUAUUGCAACAUUGUCAGUAUUAUUACACGUUUAUAUUGUUACAUGUUUGGAUGUUUAUUUGGCCAUUGACUGGCUGAUUUUUGGAGUGUACAGAUGGAAAUCAGAGGAAUGAAAUUAGUAGCUUGUUCAAUGCACUUUUAUUAUGGGACAUUUCCAUUUGCAGCGCCGUUUUGGGGGCUUAGAUCCCUCUAGAAAUGAGAAGGGUGCAACGAAAGAGUGGUGCAAAAAACACGGUGUGAAGGAGAAAGAGAGAAAUAGGGCAAGUGAGGUUGAGACUCCGGCUGGGCCGCUGGAAACACAUUAACAGUCUGUUUGAUGGCAGAGAUGGGAUUUACAGGGACGCAGACAGAAAGAGGGGACACUCAUGCGCAUCAGGAGUGUACUGAGUUUGAAAUUCUCACCUGUCUGUGUCACCUGCCUUGGUGUAAAAGACAAAAAUGGGGGGAAUGUUUCUCACACCACCACAUUUCUGUCAAAUCAUACACUUGACGUCGACCUGCAUGCCUAAAGAAGGGUGCACAAAGCGUGAUGUGUUGACUUUAAUAGAAAAUUGUUUGCAAUAUGGAACGCACCUGUUACACAACAAUUUGUACUGCCUGAGAAAAAGUUGCACCCAGUUUUAGAGGUUGUAUAAUUGUGAGGAGUCAGUAUUUUUUAUGGUUGGAAAAAAAAAAAUCCUCCACCGAAAGAUGUACAGUUGGAAAAAAAAGGAUUUUGUACACCAUUCUUGAUGUUUGAGAUAAGAUUGAAAAAAGAUUAAAACAUUGAGGAAUGUUCCAUUUUCCUGUAAAUUGUACCUCUAUUUAUUUGCCUUAUUUAGUUUGCUAUAUUUUGUAUGUACACACAGCAUUACAACAAAAUGUUAUAUUAAAAAUAUGAAUAUGAAUAAUUAAACUGUGGUCCGUGUAUGAUGGAUAGUUUUGAGACUUGUAUAAGAAUGAGAAUCUUUUUUUUUUCAUUUCUAUAAUUUUAUUUUUGUUUUGUAUUUUUUUCUCACCCUGUGUCUUUUGUAGGGUUACAAUAAA
This is an RNA transcript of Epinephelus moara (kelp grouper), 8534 nucleotides long. It is a transcript of the gene named dishevelled associated activator of morphogenesis 2, with no coding region annotated. NCBI's taxonomy places the organism in Eukaryota, Metazoa, Chordata, Actinopteri, Perciformes, Serranidae. The record is from RefSeq and is a predicted model, not a curated record. The transcript is spliced from 27 exons.